Molecule: transfer RNA, 73 nt
Filed under: Pseudoalteromonas sp. HM-SA03
Lineage: Bacteria; Pseudomonadati; Pseudomonadota; Gammaproteobacteria; Alteromonadales; Pseudoalteromonadaceae
Description: tRNA-Phe
Rfam family: tRNA
About the family: Transfer RNA (tRNA) molecules are approximately 80 nucleotides in length.
Source: RNAcentral
GCCCAGAUAGCUCAGUCGGUAGAGCAGAGGAUUGAAAAUCCUCGUGUCGGUGGUUCGAUUCCGCCUCUGGGNA